RNAcentral lists this ribosomal RNA (482 nucleotides) under uncultured bacterium. RNAcentral describes it as "partial 16S ribosomal RNA". It matches the Rfam family "Bacterial small subunit ribosomal RNA", at positions 28 to 507 of the family's 1533-position model. The record is from RNAcentral.
GACGAACGCUGGCGGCGUGCUUAACACAUGCAAGUCGAACGAUGAAGAAGAGAAACGCGAACUUCGGUUCAACUUUCACUUCGGAUUAGUGGCAGACGGGUGAGUAACGCGUGAGCAACCUACCUCUUACAAAGGGAUAGCCUCGGGAAACCGUGAUUAAUACCAUAUGACACAUUCAUAAGGCAUCUUAAGAAUGUUAAAGCUACGGCGGUAAGAGAUGGGCUCGCGUCCCAUUAGCUAGUUGGUGAGGUAACGGCCCACCAAGGCGACGAUGGGUAACCGGCCUGAGAGAGUGAACGGUCACAUUGGAACUGAGACACGGUCCAAACUCCUACGGGAGGCAGCAGUGGGGAAUAUUGCACAAUGGAGGGAACUCUGAUGCAGCGACGCCGCGUGAGCGAUGAAGGAAUUCGUUUCGUAAAGCUCUGUUCUAUGGGAAGAAAAGGACUGUACCAUAGGAGAAAGCCCCGGCUAAAUACGUG